Molecule: ribosomal RNA, 833 nt
Filed under: Escherichia coli
Lineage: Bacteria; Pseudomonadati; Pseudomonadota; Gammaproteobacteria; Enterobacterales; Enterobacteriaceae
Description: partial 23S ribosomal RNA
Rfam family: Bacterial large subunit ribosomal RNA
Source: RNAcentral
CGGGACACGUGGUAUCCUGUCUGAAUAUGGGGGGACCAUCCUCCAAGGCUAAAUACUCCUGACUGACCGAUAGUGAACCAGUACCGUGAGGGAAAGGCGAAAAGAACCCCGGCGAGGGGAGUGAAAAAGAACCUGAAACCGUGUACGUACAAGCAGUGGGAGCACGCUUAGGCGUGUGACUGCGUACCUUUUGUAUAAUGGGUCAGCGACUUAUAUUCUGUAGCAAGGUUAACCGAAUAGGGGAGCCGAAGGGAAACCGAGUCUUAACUGGGCGUUAAGUUGCAGGGUAUAGACCCGAAACCCGGUGAUCUAGCCAUGGGCAGGUUGAAGGUUGGGUAACACUAACUGGAGGACCGAACCGACUAAUGUUGAAAAAUUAGCGGAUGACUUGUGGCUGGGGGUGAAAGGCCAAUCAAACCGGGAGAUAGCUGGUUCUCCCCGAAAGCUAUUUAGGUAGCGCCUCGUGAAUUCAUCUCCGGGGGUAGAGCACUGUUUCGGCAAGGGGGUCAUCCCGACUUACCAACCCGAUGCAAACUGCGAAUACCGGAGAAUGUUAUCACGGGAGACACACGGCGGGUGCUAACGUCCGUCGUGAAGAGGGAAACAACCCAGACCGCCAGCUAAGGUCCCAAAGUCAUGGUUAAGUGGGAAACGAUGUGGGAAGGCCCAGACAGCCAGGAUGUUGGCUUAGAAGCAGCCAUCAUUUAAAGAAAGCGUAAUAGCUCACUGGUCGAGUCGGCCUGCGCGGAAGAUGUAACGGGGCUAAACCAUGCACCGAAGCUGCGGCAGCGACGCUUAUGCGUUGUUGGGUAGGGGAGCGUUCUGUAAGCCUG